This is a long non-coding RNA of Cotesia glomerata, 101 nucleotides long. RefSeq lists it as uncharacterized. The record is from RefSeq and is a predicted model, not a curated record. The transcript has 3 exons. NCBI's taxonomy places the organism in Eukaryota, Metazoa, Arthropoda, Insecta, Hymenoptera, Braconidae.
ACUGUAAAAAAAUUGUCAUUAAAUGAAGAGUGUCUAUUAAACAAUGGAUGUUUUGUCAAAAGAAAGGGAUUUAGAUGCAUUGUGGCCAAUUUUUCAACGCA